RNAcentral lists this ribosomal RNA (241 nucleotides) under uncultured bacterium. RNAcentral's name for it is "partial 16S ribosomal RNA". It matches the Rfam family "Bacterial small subunit ribosomal RNA", at positions 77 to 334 of the family's 1533-position model. The record is from RNAcentral.
UUGUAAAAUGUCGGCGAGCGGCGGACGGCUGAGUAACGCGUGGGAACGUACCCCAAAGUGAGGGAUAACGCAUCGAAAGGUGUGCUAAUACCGCAUAUGGUCUUCGGAUUAAAGCCUUCGGGCGCUUUGGGAACGGCCUGCGUAAGAUUAGAUAGUUGGUGGGGUAAUGGCCUACCAAGUCGACGAUCUUUAACUGGUUUGAGAGGAUGAUCAGUCAGACUGGAACUGAGACACGGUCCAG